This 497-nucleotide ribosomal RNA is filed under the name uncultured bacterium. RNAcentral describes it as "partial 16S ribosomal RNA". It matches the Rfam family "Bacterial small subunit ribosomal RNA", at positions 28 to 507 of the family's 1533-position model. The record is from RNAcentral.
GAUGAACGCUGGCGGCGUGCCUAAUACAUGCAAGUCGAGCGAACGGACGAGAAUCUUGCUUCUCUGAUGUUAGCGGCGGACGGGUGAGUAACACGUGGAUAACCUACCUAUAAGACUGGGAUAACUUCGGGAAACCGGAUCUAAUACCGGAUAAUAUUUUGAACCGCAUGGUUCAAAAGUGAAAGACGGUCUUGCUGUCACUUAUAGAUGGAUCCGCGCUGCAUUAGCUAGUUGGUAAGGUAACGGCUUACCAAGGCAACGAUGCAUAGCCGACCUGAGAGGAUGAUCAGCCACACUGGAACUGAGACACGGUCCAGACUCCUACGGGAGGCAGCAGUAGGGAAUCUUCCGCAAUGGGCGAAAGCCUGACGGAGCAACGCCGCGUGAGUGAUGAAGGUCUUCGGAUCGUAAAACUCUGUUAUUAGGGAAGAACAUAUGUGUGAGUAACUGUGCACGUCUUGACGGUACCUAAACAAAAAGCCACGGCUAACUUCGUG